AGAGUUUGAUCAUGGCUCAGAACGAACGCUGGCGGCAGGCUUAACACAUGCAAGUCGAACGAUGUAGCAAUACAUAGUGCGCACGGGUGAGUAACGCGUGGGAAUAUACCUAUAGUGGGGAAUAACUUUGGGAAACUAAAGCUAAUACCGCAUACGCCCGAGAGGGGAAAGAUUUAUCGCUAUAAGAUUAGCCCGCGUGAGAUUAGGUAGUUGGUGGGGUAAUGGCCUACCAAGCCUACGAUCUCUAGCUGGUCUGAGAGGAUGAUCAGCCACACUGGAACUGAGACACGGUCCAGACUCCUACGGGAGGCAGCAGUGGGGAAUAUUGGGCAAUGGAGGAAACUCUGACCCAGCCAUGCCGCGUGAAUGAUGAAGGCCUUAGGGUUGUAAAGUUCUUUCGCCGAUGAAGAUAAUGACGGUAGUCGGAGAAGAAGCCCCGGCUAACUUCGUGCCAGCAGCCGCGGUAAUACGAAGGGGGCUAGCGUUGUUCGGAAUUACUGGGCGUAAAGCGAGCGUAGGUUGCUCGAUAAGUCAGUGGUGAAAGCCCAGAGCUCAACUCUGGAACUGCCAUUGAAACUGUCGAGCUGGAAUCUCAGAGGGGGUAGCGGAAUUCCAAAUGUAGGGGUGAAAUCCGUAGAUAUUUGGAGGAACACCGGUGGCGAAGGCGGCUACCUGGAUGAGUAUUGACACUGAGGCUCGAAAGCGUGGGGAUCAAACAGGAUUAGAUACCCCGGUAGUCC
This 740-nucleotide ribosomal RNA is filed under the name uncultured bacterium. RNAcentral's name for it is "bacterial SSU rRNA". It matches the Rfam family "Bacterial small subunit ribosomal RNA", at positions 8 to 796 of the family's 1533-position model. The record is from RNAcentral.